CAACUCUUAGCGGUGGAUCACUCGACUCGUG
Molecule: ribosomal RNA, 31 nt
Filed under: Betta mahachaiensis
Lineage: Eukaryota; Metazoa; Chordata; Actinopteri; Anabantiformes; Osphronemidae
Description: partial 5.8S ribosomal RNA
Source: RNAcentral